CUACGGGUUGCUGCAGUAAGGAAUAUUGGGCAAUGGGCGCAAGCCUGACCCAGCCAUGCCGCGUGCAGGAAGACGGCCUUAUGGGUUGUAAACUGCUUUUGUUAGGGAAUAAACCCCCGUACGUGUACGGGGCUGAAUGUACCUAAAGAAUAAGCAUCGGCUAACUCCGUGCCAGCAGCCGCGGUAAUACGGAGGAUGCAAGCGUUAUCCGGAUUCAUUGGGUUUAAAGGGUGCGCAGGCGGACUGAUAAGUCAGUGGUGAAAUCCUACGGCUCAACCGUAGAACUGCCAUUGAUACUGUCAGUCUUGAGUCUAGUUGAAGUGGGCGGAAUGUAGCAUGUAGCGGUGAUAUGCAUAGAUAUGCUACAGAACACCUAUUGCGAAGGCAGCUCACUAAACUAUAACUGACGCUCAUGCACGAAAGCGUGGGGAGCAAACAGGAUUAGAUACCCCGGUAGUC
RNAcentral lists this ribosomal RNA (459 nucleotides) under uncultured bacterium. RNAcentral's name for it is "partial 16S ribosomal RNA". It matches the Rfam family "Bacterial small subunit ribosomal RNA", at positions 339 to 795 of the family's 1533-position model. The record is from RNAcentral.